CAUCCUCCAAGGCUAAAUACUACUGACUGACCGAUAGUGAACCAGUACCGUGAGGGAAAGGCGAAAAGAACCCCGGAGAGGGGAGUGAAUUAGAACCUGAAACCGUAUGCGUACAAGCAGUGGGAGCCUACUUUGUUAGGUGACUGCGUACCUUUUGUAUAAUGGGUCAACGACUUGGUCUCACGAGCAAGCUUAAGCCGUUAGGUGAAGGCGCAGCGAAAGCGAGUCUGAACAGGGCGUUCAGUUCGUGGGAUCAGACCCGAAACCGAGUGAUCUAGGCAUGUCCAGGAUGAAGGUGCAGUAACAUGCACUGGAGGUCCGAACCCACACCUGUUGAAAAAGGUCGGGAUGAGGUGUGCCUAGGGGUGAAAGGCCAAUCAAACUCGGAGAUAGCUGGUUCUCCGCGAAAACUAUUUAGGUAGUGCGUCAGACGAAUACCGACCGGGGUAGAGCACUGGAUGGGUAAUGGGGACCCACAGUCUUACUGACUCCUAACCAAACUCCGAAUACCGGUGAGUACUAUCUGGCAGACAGACGUCGGGUGCUAACGUCCGUAGUACG
Molecule: small RNA, 561 nt
Filed under: uncultured Gammaproteobacteria bacterium
Lineage: Bacteria; Pseudomonadati; Pseudomonadota; Gammaproteobacteria
Description: bacterial LSU rRNA
Rfam family: Bacterial large subunit ribosomal RNA
Source: RNAcentral